Molecule: unclassified non-coding RNA, 201 nt
Filed under: rhizosphere metagenome
Description: partial ribosomal RNA internal transcribed spacer region
Source: RNAcentral
GUAGUCGCCCGGGUUGCCGCAAGGCCUCCCGGGUAACCUACCACCCUUUGUUUAUUACACUUUGUUGCUUUGGCAGGCCUGCCCUCGGGCUGCUGGCUCCGGCCGGCGAGCGUCUGCCAGAGGACCCAAAACCCUGAAAUUAAUGUCGUCUGAGUAAAAAGUUUAAUAUUUAAAACUUUCAACAACGGAUCUCUUGGCUCU